RNAcentral lists this ribosomal RNA (485 nucleotides) under uncultured bacterium. Its description in RNAcentral is "partial 16S ribosomal RNA". It matches the Rfam family "Bacterial small subunit ribosomal RNA", at positions 28 to 523 of the family's 1533-position model. The record is from RNAcentral.
GGUGAACGCUGGCGGCGUGCUUAACACAUGCAAGUCGAACGAGAACGGAAUAUAGCUUGCUAUAUUUGUCAGCUAAGUGGCGCACGGGUGAGUAAUGCAUAGAUAACCUGCCCUUAAGAAAGGAAUAACAGUUGGAAACGACUGCUAAUGCCCUAUAUGCCUUUAAUACAUAAGUAUGCAAGGGAAACGCUUUAGUGCUUAAGGAUGGGUCUGUAUGGUAUCAGCUUGUUGGUGAGGUAAUGGCUCACCAAGGCUAUGACGCCUAACUGGUUUGAGAGGAUGAUCAGUCACACUGGAACUGAGACACGGUCCAGACUCCUACGGGAGGCAGCAGUGGGGAAUAUUGCACAAUGGACGACAGUCUGAUGCAGCAACGCCGCGUGGAGGAUGACACAUUUCGGUGCGUAAACUCCUUUUAUAUAGGAAGAUAAUGACGGUACUAUAUGAAUAAGCACCGGCUAACUCCGUGCCAGCAGCCGCGGUAA